RNAcentral lists this unclassified non-coding RNA (240 nucleotides) under soil metagenome. RNAcentral's name for it is "partial contains 5.8S ribosomal RNA, internal transcribed spacer 2, and large subunit ribosomal RNA". The record is from RNAcentral.
AACGCACGAGACCUGCGGACCUGCGGAGGGAUCAUUACUGAGUAACGUGGUCUUUUUUCAUGACCCGCUACCCGCCCUUUGUCAUAUGUUGGACGAGGUCGUCUUUAGGGGCGGCCUCCGACCCCACUUCCCGGGAGGCGUUGCGCCCCAUCAAAGUCUAGGCCUUGAUGAGGAUGGGACCGCCCGGGGUCUUUUUCAAACCCUUUGUGAGAAAUAUGAAGUCUGAAGCGAAAGCUUAAA